GACGAACGCUGGCGGCGUGCUUAACACAUGCAAGUCGAACGGACAGGCCCUGCUUUUGUGUGGUUCUCGAUUGGCGAACGGGUGAGUAUCACGUGAGUAACCUGCCCUUGACUUUGUGAUAACUUCAGGAAACUGGGGCUAUUACCGGAUAGGAGCUCCUGCUGCAUGGUGGGCGUUGGAAAGAUUCGGCGGUUGGGGAUGGACUCGCGGCUUAUCAGCUUGUUUGUGGGGUAGUGGCUUACCAAGGCUUUGACGGAUAGCCGGCCUGAGAGGGUGACCGGGGACAUUGGGACUGAGAUACGGCGCAGACUCGUACGGGAGGCAGCAGUGGAGAAUAUGGCACAGUGGGCGGGAGCGUGAGGCGGCAACGCCGCGUGCGGGAUGACGGCUUUCGGGUUGUAAACCGCUGUCGACUGUGACGAAGCGUGAGUGACGGUAAUGGGUAAGGAAGCACCGGCUAACUACGUG
Molecule: ribosomal RNA, 468 nt
Filed under: uncultured bacterium
Lineage: Bacteria
Description: partial 16S ribosomal RNA
Rfam family: Bacterial small subunit ribosomal RNA
Source: RNAcentral